UAAUAUGUAUCAUGAUCAAUCAAAGGUACAAUGACUGACUACUGAUAUUUCCUAAUACAAUUGUAUUUUUUGUUUUACCAACUUUCAGAUUUUUCGAAAUCAUGAUUAUUAUAUAGUGUGUAUAAUAUUUUCUUGCUAGCUCUAUACUAAGAUUUUGAGGAAUCGGCCAAUGCAAAAAUAAGAUAGGUGUAUGUAGUAGUUAUCUUAUACAUGUCCUGUUUGAUGUGUUUCAGAAUGGAUAGAGAUCAAUGAUUUGGAAUAUAAACCUUCAGAUGAUAUUUUUUCCCUCCAUGUGACCAUGUCAUCCAUACUUUUUUAGGUUUGUUUCUAAGAGUAUGUAUGCUCUUCCCAUUUAAGUUUCAAUACUUGGGGUUUAGAGCACUUAUAGACAAUCAAGUAAGUCUUUCCCUCUUUAACUAUUCUCACAUCAUUACUGUUUGAUCAAUAUAGGUGUACUUGAUGACACAUAUGCCC
This 474-nucleotide long non-coding RNA is filed under the name Hordeum vulgare. RNAcentral's name for it is "long non-coding RNA (HVUL_LNC018840)". The record is from RNAcentral. Lineage: Eukaryota; Viridiplantae; Streptophyta; Magnoliopsida; Poales; Poaceae.